GAUGAACGCUGGCUACAGGCUUAACACAUGCAAGUCGAGGGGAAACGACGGGGAAGCUUGCUUCCCCGGGCGUCGACCGGCGCACGGGUGAGUAACGCGUAUCCAACCUGCCUCUGACUGAGGGAUAACCCGUCGAAAGUCGGCCUAAUACCUCAUGGCAUCGUCUGCGGGCAUCCAACGACGAUUAAAGAUUUCAUCGGUCAGAGAUGGGGAUGCGUCUGAUUAGCUUGUUGGCGGGGUAACGGCCCACCAAGGCGACGAUCAGUAGGGGUUCUGAGAGGAAGGUCCCCCACAUUGGAACUGAGACACGGUCCAAACUCCUACGGGAGGCAGCAGUGAGGAAUAUUGGUCAAUGGGCGAGAGCCUGAACCAGCCAAGUAGCGUGCAGGGUGACGGCCCUAUGGGUUGUAAACUGCUUUUAUGCGGGGAUAAAGUGAGGGACGUGUCCUUCAUUGCAGGUACCGCAUGAAUAAGGACCGGCUAAUUCCGUG
Molecule: ribosomal RNA, 491 nt
Filed under: uncultured bacterium
Lineage: Bacteria
Description: partial 16S ribosomal RNA
Rfam family: Bacterial small subunit ribosomal RNA
Source: RNAcentral